Molecule: small RNA, 547 nt
Filed under: Vigna angularis var. angularis
Lineage: Eukaryota; Viridiplantae; Streptophyta; Magnoliopsida; Fabales; Fabaceae
Description: Non-protein coding transcript
Source: RNAcentral
UUUUUGUGUAAAUUUGUAUAGUUGCUUGCUAUUGUAUCUUUGAGGACCAUAUUGUUUAAUUCAUUUGUCUGUUAUGUUGCUUUAGAGCAACCUUCAAUGAAGUGCCGCGGUCCUUUGUUUGUCGGAGUGUCGUUGUUCACGUGUUUGUUGUAGCGUUUUCUGUUUCAGCCACCUAGAAGCGUUCGUCUUCAUUGAAGUGUGGUCGGACUGUCACCGUUGAAGUUGGUCGGACUGUAAUUGGUGAAGGCAACUUUGUAGGCGCCACCUUUACGCGUCAAGGAACCAUCGAAGUUGGAAACUGCCAUUGGAGGUGUUUUUUGAAGGAGGAACUAUAACAGGUUAGGGAGAAAUAUAUUUGUGAUUAGAUUUUGGAUGUGCAAAUGUGCGGAGAGAUGAAAUGUUGCAGGAUUUAGGCAUUGAGUAGAUGUUGUUGAAUAGGGAUUUUUGCAGCUUUAUUAAUGGUUUGUUUAGAACUCUUUCGAUAUGUAUUAAUGAGGAUUGAAUGUACAUAUUUGUUGUUAAAAAUGUUGAAAGAAAAUGAGUGCUU